UACGGAGGGUGCGAGCGUUGUCCGGAAUCACUGGGCGUAAAGGGCGCGUAGGCGGCUCAUGAAGGCUGUGGUGAAAGUCCGGGGCUCAACCUCGGAUCGGCCGUGGCGACUCGUGGGCUGGAGCACUGUAGAGGCGGGUGGAAUUCCGGGUGUAGCGGUGGAAUGCGUAGAGAUCCGGAAGAACACCAGUGGCGAAAGCGGCUUCCUGGUCCGACACCGACGUCAGGCACGAAAGCGUGGGGAGCAAACAGG
Molecule: ribosomal RNA, 252 nt
Filed under: uncultured bacterium
Lineage: Bacteria
Description: partial 16S ribosomal RNA
Rfam family: Bacterial small subunit ribosomal RNA
Source: RNAcentral